This 21779-nucleotide long non-coding RNA is filed under the name Citrus sinensis (sweet orange). Its description in RNAcentral is "long non-coding RNA (CSIN_LNC001567)". Lineage: Eukaryota; Viridiplantae; Streptophyta; Magnoliopsida; Sapindales; Rutaceae. The record is from RNAcentral.
UUUCUCUUGGACUUACGACGCAUCAUACGCCAAUGGACGGAACUACGGCAUAUCACUUCAUGAACUCAUGGGCUGAGAUGGCGCGUGGCAUUCCUAUUAGCGUUCCACCAAUCUUUGAUCGAACUAUACUAGAUGUUGGAGUCCCAACUUCUCCAUCAUUUCACCACAUCGAAUACGAUCCCCCUCCUUCCAUGAAUACUCCUACUCAAAAUCCUCAAGCCAUUUCCACUACAAUCCUGAAAUUAUCACCUGAUCAAAUGAACAUCCUUAAAGAAAAAUCUAAGGGAGAUCACGGAUCCACUGUCAAGUAUACUAGAUUUGAGAUUGUAACAGCACAUAUAUGGCGCUGCCCAUGUAAAGCACGAGGGUUGUCUGUUGAUCAAGCUACCAAGUUAGAGAUUCCCACAUCUGGGCGAUUUAAAUUGAAUCCUAAAAUUCCACUUGGGUAUUGUGGCAAUGUAAACUUCAGGGCCACACCAAUGGCCUUGUCAGGUGAUAUUCAAUCGGAAUCAUUAAAUUGUACAACAGAGAGAAUUCAUGAAGCAAUUAAAUUGAGGGAUGACAAGUAUAUGAAUGGGGUCGGCCGGUGUUUACGAUGCCUUUGUUCGGCAUGGACGGAGAUGUUUUCAUUUUACCGGGUCCAACCAAUGAUGGGAGCUGGUUGGUGGUUGUAGACAUGGAAACUAACCACUUGCAGCACUUCAACAAGUAUUUUUAUGAUAUCUUUCCGUAAUCCCACGAUGUAAUAUCUUUGGGUGUUGUGUUGAUACUAACCAUCUUAUUAUUUGCUGGUAUGUUUGUAAUAACGAACACCCUUUUGUCCUUUCGAAAUGAUUAAUGAACUGCUUGAAUGCAUUGAAUAUAGAGAGCUGCUAAAACUGAGAAUUGGAGAAUUGAUGAUCAUACAAAAGCUUAUCUCAGGCAUCAUUCACGACUUUGGACUGGACAGCCAAGAAAAUUCUGUUAGCUUAUAGGAUAAUAGCGUCAAGGCCCCUAAGUUUCUGCCUCUUAUUAACCAAAUUACAUUUUCUUCUAUUUCUCAAAUAUGCCCAUAAUCCCGGCAAAAAUAUAACUGAAAUAACUUUUGUAUCGUUAUGAUCUAAUACAACUAUGAUAAAAAAAUCUAUUUUCGAUAAAAACGUACAAAUUAUAAGUAACUUUGUUCUUCAUUCAACAAAACAAGAAAACUUGAAAACACAAACUCAGUCAAAUUUUUCAGUAACAGUUUUAUCUCUCGCCAAAGCAGAGUGUUAAGACAUUAAAGGCAAUCUCAUUGAAACAUAUAAAACCAUGCGCAAUAAUAAUUUUUUAACUUAAAACUUUAUGAAUUAUGAUUGGUGAUUGCAAUGCGGACUUACUGAACAACACAGGUCAAAACUCAAUUAAAAAAUAAUAAUACAUCAAUUUCAAGCCCAACGUCGUCAUCUGAAACACUACAAAGAAAAUUCUAAUCAAACACCAAUAGAUGAACCAUCACUUGGUUAGUAUCAGAACCUUAUUCUUAGCACAGAUGUUUAAUAUUAGAUAAUUAUUAGCUCAUUAAAGCUGUACUCGGAUAAAAAUGGCAGUAAAAAGACACUGAUAAUAUUGUCUUCAAAACAGGCAAGAGCAACAUCUUGACUGUCAACUUACAAGACACCAAACAAACUAGGAAACUGCAUCACUUCAAAACUCUAACAUGACGGUUAAACUGUUUGCUCAGCUUGUAAGAUUUAAAUCACAUUUACAUUUACAGGAAUCCUCCCUUGGGCAUCACAUCAAAACUCUAACAUGACGGUUAAACUGUUCGCUCAGCUUGUAAGAUUUAAAUCACAUUUACAGUAUGAUGCCCAAGGGAGGAUUCCUGUUUCACUAUAUGGCCUGAGUACAGUCUUCUCACAAUAUGUUCCAAUGAAAAAUUAAAGUUAUAUUGAACCAACCUAUUUCUGGAAUGAUAUUGAGUAGGUGCCAGUGUUCGGAUCUUUAACAGCUUUGAAGUUGUUGGUGCUCAUCCCAAAACGGCCCAGGAUAGAGUUACCCAUUUCUUUUAGCUUUCCUGCUCAAAGGAAACAAUUUCACAUUUUGGUUAAUGAAUAACUGAUGAAGCAUGCACACAAAAGCAUAAGAAAUGUCGGAUGAAAAUUGUAGCCUAGAUGUUUGUCAAGACGAAGAAUUAGGUAAUCUAAUUAUAUAUAACCAUUAUUCUAAUACAAAUCCUUUUCUGACAACACAACUCCCCCACCCUCUGUGUGUACCGAUGAUAACCCUUCAAAUAAAAUGACUUCACUGUAUGACUAGUAGGAAAUGGCUCUGCACAUACCAAAGCAUGAGCACAGGCAUAGAAUCCUUGUUUGUCAAAGGUGUGUCAUACCCAAAAAAUUAUAUAAAAAAGAGAAAAAAGAAGACAUCAAACAGGACCAAACAACCAUUGAGGAUCAUAUAAAAUAUCUCUUUUCAGUAGUGUGGUCGGUAUUAAACUUCAAACUUUGAAAUACUUCCUCCACACUCAAAUUGAAUUUUCUACACCCUCCGAAAACUUCUGUUUAAUCCUCACAUUUAAUUGAAAGAUGUUGGGGGUAAAGCAGAUUCUAUAAACAAGUAACAACUAUCACUUCCCAUGCAUGUUAUGUUCCAAAACCAAUUAAUUCUUUCGAUCAUCAAACACCUAGUCCUUACAGACUAUCUCAAGGAAGCAUGCUCAAAAUCUCAUUCACAACAAUAACUUCACUUAGUCCAACCUACAAUUUUAAUUAAUUAAUCUUCUCUUUCCAUUAUCUGUUCCAACUUCUAGCUGCAUGUAAGAAUUCAUCUACUUCUUACUCGGAGGUAUUAACGGACCAUCAUAAAAAGCAGUUUGCAAAGACAUGAAAUUGCAUAUGGCUAUGAGUUCUCAACAAUGUAACAACAAAUAUACUAUAAAGGCACUAAUAAUAAGGGUGAACUGGUUAAAAAGUAAUGAAAAAACGAAGUCUAGAUGCCUCAUUCAUUUGCUCCAAUUGAUGAAGAUGGAGAAUGGUGUGCCUCAGAAACAGUCUUAAAUUUUUGUUUCAACGUCUUCCAACAACCAACUCUGCAGGCAGAGAUGUAUCUCCGUGAUGCAGGAUGCACAUGUAUUUGGGUGGAAACAAGUGGACUUGCUAAUGAGAAGCAAGAGAGUUCCAUCAGCGUACACUCAAUUUGGGUUAAAGGUCUUGAUGGAACCUUAUUUCACCAAGAGAUCUUCAGUCCUUAUAUGAUUGUAAAUUCCUAUUUCUGUAUCGACAGCUUUCUUUACUGCCAUUUAUAUCAUUCUUUGAUACGCACUAAUGUUUCACAGUUUCUUAAUGAGAAGAAAAUGAAAUCGCAGAAGAAAAUCAUUGCCAAGCUUACCAAUCAUCUCUUCCUUCAUCUUUUCAAGUUUUUCCUCUGCCAGUGGCUGCAAACGAAGAAUGGUUCUCUUGGCUUGAUUAUUUGAAGGAUCAAAUUCCAAGAUUUUCUUCAUCUGUGAUAGAAAAAAUGAAGAAAAGUUCAAAGAAAAUGACAUUUGAAAUUAGAAGUAGUUAUGAAGGUGCCACAAAUCAGCCUGUGAAAUGUAAAGAACUUCAUGGAAGGUCGACAAAAAAAUACAAGACUCAGGGUUCAAAACCAAACUACAUAAUCCAACAUAGAAUGAACAAGAAACUAAAACGUAUUUGUUAUGUGAAUGACAACAAUCAUCAAAUCCUGAAUACCAGCAAUAGCCUCUUCAAAGUGUUCAAGCUUUUCAUGUGCCUCUGCUCUUCUGAUCAGAGCUUUCAUAUAUGUAGGAUUAAGCUCCAAUGCCUUUGUGCAUUCUUUGAUAGACUCCUCGAAUUUUCCCUAAUGUAAAUUAUCAUCAAUCUGGAGUUAGAAAGACUAUAGGAAUCUUGGAUGCAAAACAAACAGCAUGAACCGCAGAUUCCACAGGAUAAACAAAAGUUGGCAGAUUUUAAAAUAUGAAGUACUUCUCCAUAAAUUUCUAUCUUCAUUUACCAUCUGAACUUGAACAUCAUCAUGUCUAUUUGAUAACAAUACAACAAAUCAGAAGGAGAAAGGAUCAGAUCCACUCAAAGUAAACUCCAAAGGUAAUAGUAAAAUGAACUACUAUAGAGAAUAAGGUUUUCGGAAUCUAAUAAAAAAAAUGCAUUAUAAACAAUGCUAAACAAACCGGGAUGAAAUCAGAACAUAAACAAACAGACUGACUGACAGAACUCAAAAACAUCAAAUGCCUCAUGCUUUACUAAUUUCUUCUUUAGUAACAACGCUGUCACAUUUAGCAAUUCACAUUUUCUAAAUCCUUUAAUACUUUAGGAUGCACAAACAAAACAAAGUGUUGUUAUUGAAUGAAAUGUGGAUAAAAGAGUAACAUACAAGCUUCAAAAAGCAUAUUCCACGAUUUGAAUGGCAUAUGGAACGCAGCUCUGCCAUUUCCGGCGCCGUCGCCACUUCCUUCUUCCCCGAUGCCGACUGCCCUUCCUUAGCCUCCGGCGCCGAAGCCAAUUCCGCUCUCUCCGGCACCGAUGCCACUCGCAAAGCUACCUCAUACUGUAACAACGCCUCCUCAUAUUUACCUUCACCAAACAACUUAUUCCCUUCGAGUUUCGCCUCAUUCGCUUCAUUUAACUAAAAGAACAAAAAGCAGAAUAUAUAUUGUAAACAGGACAGCUAAAAUAUUGAAGUAUUUUCACACAUUUUCAUUAACUGUAAUGCAUCAUUUGUAACUAAUAAAGAGAAAAUAAAGGGAACUAUAUAUGAGAGUAUCAAGGAGAAUAAUGGAAGAGAUUGUUGUUAGUAACUUGUGGAGAGUAUCAUGGAGCUUGAGAUUAUCUGAUAUGCCCCCGCAAGAGGGUGUUGCCAUUGGCGACACCCAUCUUGAACCUUAAUUCAGAAAAUGGUUGCUUGGAGAGGGGUUUGGUUAGGCUAUUAGCAAGUUGAUCUGCUGCAGAUAUAUAAGAUACGCGCAAUAGCCCUUUGUUGACCCAAUCGCGAACAAAAUGAUAAGCAAGAUCAAUGUGUUUUACCCUUGAAUGAAAGACUGGAUUGCAACACAAAUAGGUAGUUUCAAUAUUAUCACAAUAAAUGGUAGGAGUUUGACUCAAUUGAAGGCCAAGUUCUUGAAGUAGAUUCUGAACCCAUCNNNNNNNNNNNNNNNNNNNNNNNNNNNNNNNNNNNNNNNNNNNNNNNNNNNNNNNNNNNNNNNNNNNNNNNNNNNNNNNNNNNNNNNNNNNNNNNNNNNNNNNNNNNNNNNNNNNNNNNNNNNNNNNNNNNNNNNNNNNNNNNNNNNNNNNNNNNNNNNNNNNNNNNNNNNNNNNNNNNNNNNNNNNNNNNNNNNNNNNNNNNNNNNNNNNNNNNNNNNNNNNNNNNNNNNNNNNNNNNNNNNNNNNNNNNNNNNNNNNNNNNNNNNNNNNNNNNNNNNNNNNNNNNNNNNNNNNNNNNNNNNNNNNNNNNNNNNNNNNNNNNNNNNNNNNNNNNNNNNNNNNNNNNNNNNNNNNNNNNNNNNNNNNNNNUGGCUUAGCUCCACACAUAUUAGUUUUGGAGAGAAGAUCACAUAUAUACUUAUGUUGUGACAAAAACAGACCAGUAGUUGUUGGAAUGACUUCUAUACCCAAAAAGUAGUGUAGAUGGCCAAGGUCCUUAAUUGAGAAUUUCUUUGCUAACAAGUGAACAAAUUUAGAUAGAAAAUUACCAUUGUUGCCAGUGAGGAUAAGAUCAUCAACAUAGACCAAAAAGAAUGCAGUGAUGCCCCCGUGAUUGUAAAUAAAUAAAGAAGCAUCGGAGAUAGCAUUGUGAAAGCCAAUUUGAUGCAAGAAGGAAUAUAGUUCUUGGUACCAGGCACGGGGUGCUUGUUUUAACCCAUAUAAUGCUUUUCGUAACUUGCAAACAUGAUUGGGAAAAUGAUGAUUAGUGAACCCAGGGGGUUGAGACAUGUAAACUGCUUCUGAAAGUGUGCCAUGGAGAAAAGCAUUGUUGACAUCUAGUUGUUGGAGCGGCCAACCAUUAGCAAGAGCAAGACAAAGGAUGAAACGCACGGUUGUAGGCUUGACAACGGGACUGAAAGUUUCGGAGUAGUCAACAUCGACUCGUUGAUGAAAACCUUUGGCGACUAAGCGAGCUUUAUAGCGCUCUAUAGUGCCAUUUGGAUGUCGUUUGAUGCGAAAAAACCAUUUGCAGCCAAUGAUGUUUUGCGAUUGUAAAUAAGGAACUAGUUCCCAUGUCUGAUUUUGGAUUAAAGCUUUAUAUUCACAUAUCAUUGUAGCCUUCCAGUUGGGAUCUUGUAAAGCAUGUGCAACUGAUGUUGGUUCGAAAGUAUUAAGUAGGGGAUGUUUGGUGGUAACGAGAGUGAGUUUAUGUUUAGGCUUGAAGAUAUUAUUUUUCGCUCGAGUUAUCAUAUGGUGGUUUGGCCUAGUUUGCGAUGUUGAAUUGGUUGAGUUGGAAUCUUGAUCUGGUGAGUUUGAGGAUAAAGGUGAUGUAGGCAUGGUGGGCAAAGGAUCUGUCUCGAUGGAUGAAGGACUAGUCGCUGGAGAAUCAGUUAUGGCAUCAACCUGCAAGGAAGUAUUUUGAGUGGCACCAUUAUCUGCAUCAAACGUGUUAGAAGAAGAUACAAGUGGAGAAAAAUUGGCUGCCAUAGAUGGAGUCUAAUUAGAAUAAGAAGAAGUGGAAACACGAGUUUGAGAUAAAUCUAAACCAUGACAAGGAAAAGUAGAUUCAUAAAAAAUAACAUGACGUGAUAUAUACGUACGAUUAGAAACAUGAUCAAAACAUUUAUAGGCACUUUGUGAAGUGCAAUAUCCUAAAAAGAUACAAGCUUUAGACCUAGGUUCCAGUUUGAGUGGAAUAUGGAUGUAGCCAAGGGAAACACUGACAUCCAAAAAUUUUGAGUUUAUUGUAAUUAGGUUCACCACCAAAAAGUGUUUCAUAGGGACUUUUUAACUUAAGAAUAUUAGUGGGUAAGCGAUUAAUCAAAUAUACAGCUGUAUGAAAAGCAUAAGUCCAAAAACGUAUAGAAAGAGAUGCUUGAUGUAGUAAGGUAAGACCUGUUUCUACAAUGUGACGAUGACGUCGUUCACUAGUACCAUUAUGCUCAGGGGUAUAUGGAGUUGAUGUGAGAUGUGAAAUGUCACAUUUACUGAAAAAUGGUUUCAAUUUUAUAAAUUCUCCACCACCAUCUGAGAAAACAGAAACAAUGGAAGUCUUAAAAAAAAUUUCAACUAAGAUUUUAAAAUUGAUAAAGAUAUCGUACACAUCAGAUUUUUGUUUCAUUGGGUAAAACCAAAUAUAUUUUGUAAAAUGAUCCACGAAUAUAACGUAAAAUCGAAAAUUAUCAUGGGAAGUAAUAGGCGCAGGACCCCAAACAUCUGUGUAAAUAAGCUCUAAAAGUUUGGAGCUUGAAAGAGAAUUUUCAACAAAAGGGAGUCUAUGGCUUUUAUAACUAGCACAUGAAUUACAAAAGGAAUCAGAUUUAUUUCGUGUUACCGUCAAAGAAUUUUUAUUAAGAAUAUAUUGUAGAAUCUGAAAUGAAGGAUGGCCUAGUUGUUGAUGCCAAGUAGAAGUUGAAGUUGAUCUUGACGCAAAUACUAAAGGACUUUUGAUUGAAGAAGACAACAAAGGCCACUCGUACACUCCUUCCUUAUUCAGGCCGCGCAUGAGAACUGUUCCCGUUAGCUGAUCCUUCACAAGAAAACACGAGUCAAAAAAUUCAAUUGAGACUUUAUUGGUUUUACAAAGUUCGGAUACAGAGAUCAAUUUUUUUCGGAUACUGGGAACACAUAGUACAUUUGAUAAAGUAAUGGGUUUUGAGGUAGAGGAGAAUGUAAGCGAACCAAUAUGAGAGAUGGGCAAACCUGAGCCAUUGCCUAUUAUUACUUCAUCAGAACCUGUGUAAAGAGCAUGCUGAGAUAAAUUGUUAACGUCAGUAGUGACGUUGUGUGAAGCUGCAGAAUCAAGAAGCCAGGUUGGGUUCGGAUUCAGAGACGGACUGCUGUAGUUGCAUAUUGGGACACCUGGAUAAGGUAUCUGUGUAUUUGUUGAUGUUGCUGUAAAGUUGGCUAUAGGGUUGGAAGUUUGAGCUUGCAAUCUUGCAUAAUAAUUAUAUCNNNNNNNNNNNNNNNNNNNNNNNNNNNNNNNNNNNNNNNNNNNNNNNNNNNNNNNNNNNNNNNNNNNNNNNNNNNNNNNNNNNNNNNNNNNNNNCUAAAGGUUUGGAGCUUGAAAGAGAAUUUUCAGCAAAAGGGAGUCUAUGGCUUUUAUAACAAGCACAUGAAUUACAAAAGGAAUCAGAUUUAUUUCGUGUUACCGUCAAAGAAUUUUUAUUAAGAAUAUAUUGUAGAAUCUGAAAUGAAGGAUGGCCUAGUCGUUGAUGCCAAGUAGAAGUAGAAGUUGAUCUUGAUGCAAAUACUAAAGGACUUUUGAUUGAAGAAGACAAUGAAGGCCACUCGUACACUCCUUCCUUAUUCAGGCUGCGCUUGAGAACUGUUCCCGUUAGCUGAUCCUUUACAAGAAAACACGAGUCAAAAAAUUCAAUUGAGACUUUAUUGGUUUUACAAAGUUCGGAUACAGAGAUCAAUUUUUUUCGGAUACUGGGAACACAUAGUACAUUUGAUAAAGUAAUGGGUUUUGAGGUAGAGGAGAAUGUAAGCGAACCAAUAUGAGAGAUGGGCAAACCUGAGCCAUUGCCUAUUAUUACUUCAUCAGAACCUGUGUAAAGAGCAUGCUGAGAUAAAUUGUUAACGUCAGUAGUGACGUUGUGUGAAGCUACAGAAUCAAGAAGCCAGGUUUGGUUCGGAUUCAGAGACGGACUGCUGUAGUUGCAUAUUGGGACACCUGGAUAAGGUAUCUGUGUAUUUGUUGAUGUUGCUGUAAAGUUGGCUAUAGGGUUGGAAGUUUGAGCUUGCAAUCUUGCAUAAUAAUUAUAUCCAUCAGAACAUUUCUUAGCACUGUGUCCUUUUUGGUGACAAAUUUGACAAGUGCCUUGGUAACCUUUCCUGCGAUUUGGUUGUUGAUUCCAAUUGUUUGAUGGGUAAGGAUUAGGACCUGAGUAUCUUUGGUUAUUUUGGAAGGUUUGAGGUGGAUUUAAACUGGGUGGUCUUGAUGGAAAAAAUGGUUGAAGAGGUGCUCAAGGAUUUUGAGAAUAGUGUGAGAAAUUAUUAUAAUUUCUUUGUGUAGCAUGGGCUGAUAUGACGGGGUUGUAUGGUGUUUCUUCUGUUCGCGAGGAUUGCAAGGAUACUUCGACAUCAACGAGUUUGUCACGCAGGGUAGGGAAAGUAAUUGGUGUGCCUCUAGCUCGAAUAGCUGCAGCAAUUUCUUUGAAUUCAGGUUUGAUCUUUGUGUAGCAUGGGCUGAUAUGACGGGGUUGUAUGGUGUUUCUUCUGUUCGCGAGGAUUGCAAGGAUACUUCGACAUCAACGAGUUUGUCACGCAGGUCAAGGAAAGUAAUUGGUGUGUCUCUAGCUUGAAUAGCUGCAACAAUUUCUUUGAAUUCAGGUUUAAGUCCAUUAAGAAUCAUAACAGUGAGGUCAAUUUCGGAGACCGGAGUAUCAACCAAUGCAAGCUCAUUAGCCAUCGUUUUCAUACUCUGUAAAUACUCAGCUACAGGCCUGUUUUCUUGCUUCAUUCGUGACAUACGGCCUUUGAGAUUAACUACAUGGGUUCUGUUGUGGCUUUGAAAUGUUGAUGUGAGUGUAGUAAGGGCACCGAUGGAGUUUGCAGCUGAAGCAAUAAGAGAAGCAAUUUCUGGUUCUACUGAUGCAAUUAUUGCAUUUAGAAUAAAUUGAUCUUGGUGCUGCUAUAUGGUGUAAGCAAGAUUAAUGGUUGCUUUUCCAUCAUCACCGGUUAUUAUUGGAAGGGGACACUUUAUUGCACCUGUAACAAAACCAUGAAGAUCAUAUCCUAUUAGGACAAUGUUUAAUUGUGCUCUCCAGGUCAUAAAGUUGUAUUGAUUCAACUUGAGAGAAAGUUGUGAGGAUGUAUUUAUAACAAUCAGGUUGCCUGCAGAAUUGAACGCGCCAUCAGAAGAAAAAAAGGCAGCAGACACAGGAGAGGAAGAGGUGAUUAAGGUUGAGCUAGAAGCCAUGUUAUAGGUUUACUCGUAGGAGAAAUUAAUUGCUCUGAUACCAUAAAAGAACAAAAAGCAGAAUAUAUAUUGUAAACAGGACAGCUAAAAUAUUGGAGUAUUUUCACACAUUUCCAUUAACUGUAAUGCAUGUAUUUAUAUACAUCAUUUGUAACUAAUAAAGAGAAAAUAAAGGAAACUAUAUAUGAGAGUAUCAAGGAGAAUAAUGGAAGAGAUUGUUGUUCGUAACUUGUGGAGAGUAUCAUGGAGCUUGAGAUUAUCUGAUAUUAACGCUUUCUACAUAAAAUCAAUCAUUAAUUCAUCAAUCAUUUGCUUCACUAGCUGAAUUUACCAAAACUAGUAAAACUGAAAUGAUAAUAACAAAAUGCGGAAAUGAAAAACUUGGCUCAAUUCGUUGUCGUUUAGAGCAACAGGCUGUUCUCCUCCCCCUCGUUGUCGUCGCUGACGUCGCGUUCGUCGGAUUUGGCUCAUUCAGAUCUCUGAAUGCUGGUUUUAUUUUAUUUUUCUUCUGUUAAUGCAAAUGCAGAUUUGAGUUCAUCGGAUUUGGCUUCGUCCGGUUGGGGGCAUAAUGGCGCUAAUGGCAUAGAAGUAGUAGCUUUUUGUCAUUACUUUCUUCUUCUAAAGUUUUUUUUUCGUUACUUUUUUAUUAUUUUAAUAUUUUAUUUGCAUUAUUUUAAUUUUUAAAAUAAAAAGAGAGAUAGAAGUAGGGAUGGCAAUGGGGAGGGGAGGGGAGGGGACCAAUCUCCCCAUACCCAUCCCCGAUAUUUUACAUAUGUCCCCGUCCCCUCCCCGUCCCCAUCAGAAUUGCUUGAGAGAAUCCCCAUCCCCUCCCCGAAUAAUAACAGGGGAUCCCCGAGGGUCCCCGGUCCCCGAAUAACUAAUAGUCUAAUACAUUUUUUUUAUUUUCGAUUUUAAAUUAAUCAUAUUAAAAUAAACUCAUACCGCUAUUGUAAGCUCGUAACCAACUUUGACAGCACAUUAAGGCCUCCAAUGUGCUUGGAUGAAGUCUGUUAUGGUAUGGGCUCACAACUCUACCACUAGUGUUAAAAGCUGAUUCAGAAGCAACUGUUGUAAUUGGAAUUGCCAAAAUAUCUCUAGCAAUUCGAGCUAAUGUAGGAUACCUAUUAGCAUUUGUCUUCCACCAACUCAAAAUAUUAAAAUCUUCCAUCCGAGAUAUAACUUUCUCAUCCAAAUAUGAAUCUAAUUCAUCUGCAACAACUGCACAAUCUCCAUUGUUUACAUAAUCAUUAAAACCUGUCAUCCAUUUGGUUGCUUUCUUAUAAGAAUCCCCUGUAGAUCUAGUAGAAGAACUACUACCAGUAUAAUCAAAGCAAUAAACAGUUGGUGAAAACUUCAAUUAAUACUCUUCAACUAAUUCCCGGCAAAGGGUGACCACUUUCCCAACAUACAACUAUUUUGAUAUUUAUUAUUUUUAACAAUAUUUAUAAUUUUGUUAUUUAUUUAUUAGUAAUUUUAAAAAUAAAAAUAAAAUUAAAAAUUAAAAUGGGGAAAUGGGUAGGGCUGCUGUACCGUACAUCCGCCUUGGCCGUACAGCAGAUUUAUUGAGAAAAAAAAAGAAGUAAGACCCACAGAAAUGGCAACAGGCGCUGCCGUUUCUGUUGUCCCUUUGUUCGUUUAGCCCCAUUAGUGCUGCUACUUAGACAAUACCACAAUAAAGGGAAGACACGACAGCAUUUCCUAUCCUCCCUCUCUUCUAUUAAGGGCCCAUAAUAAGUUUAAAAAAAUAAUAUAUAAUAGUGCACAUGUGUGAAUAAAGUGAAAACUUUUUUUUUGGCUAUUGGAUAAGAGUUUUAACAUGAUUAUUAAAGUGGAAGGCCAUAACUUUAUAUGCAUCUCUUUUAGUUGUUUAUCACACAACUGAUAUCUGUAUUUCCAGCUCUAUAUUUGCUCGAUUUCAAUAACAUAAAAAAGGGUCAUAAGGAAGAAGAGAGAGAAGUUAGAUCUUGAUUUAUUCAAUAGUGGGAAAAAAAAGUGAAACAAAAUCAAUGGCAAUAGAUCUGCAAACAAAGGCAGCUUGAUAAAAUUGUUGAUAAUUGAUUGAUAAGUUGGUCUCUCUCAUACAUUCAAAUAAAGUUUUUGUUGUGUUCUGUAUAUUUAAAUGGUUAGAAAAAUUUUAAUUUAAAUUGUAAAAAUUCAUAGAUUUGUGCUUUUUAUAUAUUUAAAUUGUUAUGGAUUUUUUUUUUUACUUUCAAUUGUUAGGAAGUGGAAGGCCAUAACUUCAUAUGCAUCUCUUUUAGUUGUUUAUCACACAACUAAUAUCUGCAUUUCCAGCUCUGCUUUUGCUUGAUUUCAAUAACAUAAAAAAAAGCAGCCAUAAGGAAGAAGAGAGAGAAGUUAGAUCCGGAUUUUUUCAAUAACAGAAAAAAAAAAGUAAAACAAAACCAAUGGUAAUAGAUCUGCAAACAGAGGCAACUUCAUAAAAUUGUUGUUAAUUGAUUGGUAAGUUGGUCUCUCUCAUACAUUCAAAUAAAGUUUUUGUUGUGUUCUGUAUAUUUAAAUUGUUAGAAUGUUUUUAAUUUAAAUUGUAAAAAUUCGUAGAUUUGUGCUUUUUAUAUAUUUAAAUUGUUAUGAUUUUUUUUUUUUACUUUCAAUUGUUAGGAAGUGGAAGGCCAUAACUUCAUAUGCAUCUCUUUUAGUUGUUUAUCACACAACUAAUAUCUGCAUUUCCAGCUCUGCUUUUGCUUGAUUUCAAUAACAUAAAAAAAAGCAGCCAUAAGGAAGAAGAGAGAGAAGUUAGAUCCGGAUUUUUUCAAUAACAGAAAAAAAAAAGUAAAACAAAACCAAUGGUAAUAGAUCUGCAAACAGAGGCAACUUCAUAAAAUUGUUGUUAAUUGAUUGGUAAGUUGGUCUCUCUCAUACAUUCAAAUAAAGUUUUUGUUGUGUUCUGUAUAUUUAAAUUGUUAGAAUGUUUUUAAUUUAAAUUGUAAAAAUUCGUAGAUUUGUGCUUUUUAUAUAUUUAAAUUGUUAUGAUUUUUUUUUUUACUUUGAAUUGAUAAGAAGUAAUGGAUUAAAUUUAUAGCAAUUUUCUGGAUGUGUUUUAUAUAUGUUAGGAUUUUUUUAAUUUAAAUUACUGGAAAUAAUAGAAUAAAUUAUAACAAUUUAUGGAUGUGUUUUAUAUAUUUAAAUUGUUAGGAUUUUUUAAUUUAAAUUGUUGGAGAUAAUGGAAUAAAUUAUAAAAAUUUGUGGAUGUGUUUUAUAUUUAAAUUGUUAGGAUUUUUUGUUACUGGACAAGAAUAUUGUAAAAGUUUCUAAUUACUUAUUCUUAAUACAAAUGUUAAUUAUUUUGUAGAAAUUGAGAAUUUGGAAAAUGAGCAUGCAUUUGAAGAGUUGCAAGAAACAUGAGUCAACAAUGUAGAUGAAAUUGUGCAACCGAAAAAAUAUGAGCCAACUCUUGGAAUAUUAUUUAAUAGUCAUGAAGAAAUGUUUGCAUUUUACAAAGUUUAUGGUAAAACAAAAAGAGUUUCAUGUAAAGGUUUGAACUCCUAAGAAAAGGGACUGAUAGAAUUGUAAAGUAUGCGACAUUUGCAUGUGGCCGCAGCGGAAAAUCAGAAUGGAAAUCUACUAAUGUAUUGAAGCAGAAACUUGAUGUGAAAAAUGGUUGUGAUGCAUAAAUUGGAGGUUGUCUAAAUGAAGAUGGAAAAUGGGUUCUUCGAACUUUAAAUCUUCAAUACAACCAUGAAUUGAGUGUAGACAAAUUUAGGUAUUAAACAAAAUCAAACAAAUUAACGAACAAAAAUAGUUCCUCUAUGGAAGGAAAGUGAGAGGGAGAGAGUAUGUACGAGUGAGAGGUGACGACAAAAGAAAUUUGCAAAAAAAAGUCUACAAAAUUCGUAGAUUUAUUAGCUCUGUGCUGCAUCAACGACAAAUAAAAAUCUGCAAGGUUAGUUGGCGUGGUCACAGUAGAGAAGAGAUAAGGUUGGUUAGCCGGUUCUGUGAUGAUAGAGAAGAGAUGAAAAAUCACAAAAUUUAUUUUGUGAAAGACAAUUAGAGAUAAGGUAAAGAAAAGAUAAGGUUUGCUCUGAUAUCAUUUUUGGACUUCUCUUUUUUUUUUAUAUAUUUACUUUUUUAAAGUAAAUGUAGGCCCACAAAAAGGAAAUGAUAAAUGAAUGAAAUGAUAGCAAGUGGCUUCAAACAAAAUUCAAGCUACAAGUACAAGUCUAACUCAUAAUAAAAAAUUAUCUCAAGGAUUGAGAGUCAUCGUAAGUUCAUGUCAUUAGUCCAAUAAUUACUCUCAACACGAUAAUCUUCUCAACUCUAUUUGUCAAAGACCACAAAAUUGUUGACAAUUAAACCAAAUCAACCUCAAGUCCUCAUCAUCAGUUUCAAUCUAACUCUAAGGGAUCAAGAUUCUCUCCUGAUCUGAUCUCCUCCUGAUUAAAAAUAUAUGUGGUGAUUGAUAGUUAAUGAAUAAAAAAAAUAAAGAAAUUAAAUCAUAUUUAUACACUAUUACUUAAAGACACAUGACAUAAGAUCUUUAAAAACCCAUGAGAGCUUAGAUCAGGAGAGGGUCAUUGUCCAACUCUAAGACUAAGACAAAGGCUAAAGAGACUCGUGGCUGUUGCAUCAACUCUACCCCAUUCGAGAUCAAUACUUUGAUGAAAAAAUUGUAGCAGAGCUACCAAACUUGAGUAAUACAAAUUCAAAUAUGUUAGAUGACAGGGCAGCAUACUUAGCAUUUAUUAGUGUUCCGAAAGUUUAAAGUGGUCAGCCUUAUCUCUUAUCUUAUGAUUAAUUCAAGUUUUUUACUUUUACAUUUAUCAAGAUCAAGAUAAAGAUAACUAUUGUGAUGGCUUAUCGUGUUUCUUGUAAAGCACUAUAAAUGUAAUGAUUAUGUGGAGAAUUAAAUAUAACAAAAAAAAAGGUGCUUUAUUUCUUUUCCAAAAGGUGCUUUAUUUCUUUUCCAAGCCCAUCUUUAUAAUUCUAGUGUACAUAUUGAUCCGGUACCUAAAUUAUUCAAUAGCCAUAUUUGCAUUGAGCGUGAAUGUGACUUUGAAAUUUUAGAAAACCAAACAACUUGGAUAAGGUAGUUGAUUCCGUGUGUGGAAUAAAAGAAACUUAUCUCAAAACACUGACUUUAAACGCAAGCUCAUCGGUAUACAUAUGUCCGAAAUGAACUCAUUUUUCUUUUACCACAAGAAUUCUGAAGUCUUAGAGCCCCCAACCCCAAGGUAUAUGGGUACUUUCUUUUCUUGUUAAUUAAGGCAUGAUUUGAUUUGCUAGCUUUGUGUUGUGCACAGUAUCAGAGAUAACUAUAUCUAUUAUCCUGUAUAUUCUUAUUUUUUGUGGCCAUCGGAUGCAUGCAGGUGGUGACACAAUGGAAACAAUUCACGUAAAAGAGUCAACAAUAAUACGGCCUGCUCAAGAAACCCCCAGACAUUGCCUACGGUUGAGUGAUUUAGACCUGCUGAUGCCGGCAAGUCACAUCCCCAGUGUGUAUUUCUACCGAGGGCCAAAUUACCCUUGCAAUUUCUUUGAAGGUGGUUUACUGAAGGAGGCUUUGAGUAAAGUUCUUGUCCCGUUUUACCCCUUGGCCGGAAGAUUGGGUAAAGAUGAAAAUGGCAGAAUUGAAAUAAAAUGCAAAGGAGAGGGAGUUUUAUUUAUUGAAGCUGAAACGAGUUAUGUCACUGAUGAUUUUGGUGACUUUGAAUCAAGCUCGAAGCUCGUGCAACUUGUUCCACCUGUUGAUCGCACGAAAGAUGCAUGUUUUCAUCCACUUAUUAUGGCACAGGUAGAAGAAUAAGAAUAAAAAGAGAGCUCGUGUAUUUCCUCAUUUUAUUAAAAAUGAAAUUAGGAGCUAUUCCAUCAAAAGAAUUAUUCAUAAUACUCACUCAAACUUAGUCACUUUAUUUCUUUAUAGGUAACUCAUUUUAAGUGUGGAGGAGUUUCUCUUGGACUUAUGAUGCAUCAUCUGCCAAUGGACGGAACUACGGCAUAUCACUUCAUGAACUCAUGGGCUGAGAUGUCGCGUGGCAUUCCUAUUAGCGUUCCACCAAUCUUUGAUCGAACUAUACUAGAUGUUGGAGUCCCAACUUCUCCAUCAUUUCACCACAUCGAACACGAUCCCCCUCCUUUCAUGAAUAGUCCUACUCAAAAUCCUCAAGCCAUUUCCACUGCAAUCCUGAAAUUAUCACCUGAUCAAAUGAACAUCCUUAAAGAAAAAUCUAAGGGAGAUCACGGAUCCACCGUCAAGUAUACUAGAUUUGAGAUUGUAGCAGCACAUAUAUGGCGCUGCGCAUGUAAAGCACGAGGGUUGUCUAUUGAUCAAGCUACCAAGUUAGAGAUUCCCACAUCUGGGCGAUUUAAAUUGAAUCCUAAAAUUCCACUUGGGUAUUGUGGCAAUGUAAACUUCAGCGCCACACCAAUGGCCUUGUCAGGUGAUAUUCAAUCGGAAUCGUUAAAUUGUACAACAGAGAGAAUUCAUGAAGCAAUUAAAUUGAGGGAUGACAAGUAUAUGAAGUCAGGGCUUGCCUACCUAAAGCAACAACCUGAUUUAACAGUUAUCAGGCGAGACCCCAAAAUUAUUAAUUGUCCAAACCUGCUGAUAACCAAAGUAGCAGACAUGCCUAUGUACGAGGUAGAUUUUGGAUGGGGUCGGCCGGUGUUUACGACGCCUUGGGCCGCCGUGGACGGAGAGAUUUUCAUUUUACCUGGUCCAACCAAUGAUGGGAGCUGGUUGGUGGUUGUAGACAUGGAAACUAACCACUUGCAGCACUUCAACAAGUAUUUUUAUGAUAUCUUUCCGUAAUCCCACGAUGUAAUAAUGUCUUUGGGUGGAUACUUACGAUUGGGUCCGCCUUCGUUACACUUAAUGUAACUUACGGUGAGUCUGUGAAGUUUCAUCUAAUCUCCUAUGUUCUAUGUAAUUUAUAUUUUAUUCAUGAAUAUUAUAAACUUUUUGAAAUGUCAAAUUUCGUUUAACCCCUUAUACUCAAUUUUAUUUUAUUGAAAUCUUAGAGUAUGAAUUCGCCUCUAUAAUUUUAAACUCUCAAAAUAAUUUUUAUUUAAUUAAAAAAUAUAAUUAUUGUUAAAUGAAUUAUAAUUAUAAUUAUUAUUUUAUUAUAAUCAUAAACUGCUGUACUAUAAUCAUAAAUAUUUUUUAAAUAAAUUAUUAUUAUUAUUAAUAAUAAGAAUAAAAGAUAUUAUAAUUAAUUAAUCUAUUAACAAUAAUUAAUAAUAUUUUUUAACCCGUAAACACCGGCCGACCCCAUGCAAAAUCUACCUCGUACAUAGGCAUGUCUGCUACUUUGGUUAUCAGCAGGUUUGGACAAUUGACCCUCUUAUUAUUUGCUGAUAUGUUUCUAAUAAUGAACCCCCUUUUGUCCUUUUGAAAUGAUUAAUGAAGUGCUUGAGUGCAUUGAAGUUAUUUUAAAAGUACACAUAAAGAUUUGACAUUUACUUAUUUUUUAAAAAUAAAAAAGCAGGUAAAAUUUAAAUUAAUUUUUUAUUUCUUAUUUUUUAAUUCAGAUUGUCAAUUGAAUCCAUUUGUUAAAAAAUUAUUUAAUUAUCUCUUUAUGUUCGAACGAUGAUGACUUUAAAUAAUAAUUCUUACAAAUCACUCAAUUAAGUCCACCGGGCCAAUUAAAUAUUAUUUGUUUAUAUUAAUUUUAAUUCAAUUGAAAUUCCAUAGUAAUUUAACCUAAAGUUUAACACUCACAAAUAAUUUAUAGUUCAUUGUAAUUCCACAAAAUUAUUAGUUCUUGUAAUUUAAAUUAUUUUAAGGAAUUGAAUCAUAAUAUUUUGAAUUUAAUUCAAUCUUUCACGUGACUUUGUUGAAUAAAACUGACGGAUGUGUUUUAUAUAUUUAAAUUGUUAGGAUUUUUUUAAUUUAAAUUGUUAGAAAGUAAUGGAUUAAAUUUAUAGCAAUUUCUGGAUGUGUUUUAUGUAUGUUAGGAUUUUUCUAAUUUAAAUUGUUGGAGAUAAUGGAAUAAAUUAUAAAAAUUUGUGGGUGUGUUUUAUAUAUUUAAAUUGUUAUGUUAAUGGACAAAAUGUUAUAAAAGUUUCUAAUUACUUAUUCUUAAUACAAAUGUUAAUUAUUUUGUAGAAAUGGAGAAUUUGGAAAAUGAGCAUGCAUUUGAAGAGUUGCAAGAAACAAGAGCCAACAAUGUAGAUAAAAUUAUGCAACCGAAAAAAUAUGACCCAACUCUUGGGAUAUUAUUUAAUAGUCAUGAAAAAAUGUUUGCAUUUUACAAAGUCUAUGAUAAAUAAGAAGGGUUCCUGUAAAGGUUCGAACUACUAAGAAAGUGACUGAUGAAAUUGUAAAAUAUGCGACAUUUGCAUGUGGUCGUAGCGACAAGUUAGAAAGGAAAUCUGUUAAUGCAUUGAAGCCGAAACCUAAUGUGAAAAAUGGUUGUGAUGCAAAAAUUGGAGGUUGUCUAAAUGAAGAAGGAAAAUGGGUCCUUCGAACUUUAAAUCUUCAACACAACCAUGGAUUGAGUCCAGACAAAGCUAGGUAUUACACAAAAUCAAACAAAUUAACGAACUAAAAUAGUUCCUCUAUGGAAGGAAAGUGAGAGGGAGAGAGUAUAUACAAAUGAGAGGUGACGGCAAAAGAAAUUUGCAAAAGAAAGUCUGCAAAAUUUGUAGAUCUAUUGGCUUUGUGCUGCAUCGACGGCAAAGGAAAAUCUACAAGGUUGGUUGGCAUGGUCACGGUAGAGAAGAGAUAAGGUUGGUUAGCCGGUUCUGUGAUGGUAGAGAAGAGAUAAAAAAAUCGUAAAAUUGAUUUUGUGAAAGACAAUUAGAGAUAAAGUAGAGACGGUUGAGAAGAAAUAAGGUUUGAUCUGAUAUCCUUUUCAGACUUCUCUUUUAUUUUUUUAUUAAUAUUUAUUUUUUUUUUAAAGUAACUAUGGGCCCAUGAAGAGAAAAUGAUAAGUGAACGAAACGCAACGAGUGGCUUUAUUUCUUUUUCGAGCCCGUUUUAUAAUUAAAGUGUACAUAUUGAUUAGGUGGCUAAAUUAUUCAAUAACCAUAUUUAAAUGUAGCGCAGCGUGAAUGUUACUUUGAAAUUUUAGAAAAUCAAACAACUUGGAUAAGGUAAUUGAUUCCGCGUGUGGAAUAAAAAAAACUUAUCUCAAAAUAUUGGCUUUAAACGCAAGUUCAUCGGUAUACAUAUGUCCGAAAUGAACUCAUUUUUCAUUUACCAUAAGAAUUCUGAAGUCUUAGAGCUCCCAACCCCCAGGUAUAUGGGUACUUUCUUUUCUUGCUAAUUAAGGCAUAAUUUGAUUUGUGUUGUGCAUAGUAUCAGAGUUAACUAUAUCUAUUAUCCUGUAUAUUCUUAUUUUUCGUGGCCAUCGGAUGCAUGCAGGUGGUGACACAAUGGAAACAAUUCACGUAAAAGAGUCAACAAUAAUACGGCCUGCUCAAGAAACCCCCAGACAUUGCCUACGGUUGAGUGAUUUAGACCUGCUGAUGCCGGCAAGUCACAUCCCCAGUGUGUAUUUCUACCGAAUUACUUAUUCUUAAUACAAAUGUUAAUUAUUUUGUAGAAAUGGAGAAUUUGGAAAAUGAGCAUGCAUUUGAAGAGUUGCAAGAAACAAGAGCCAACAAUGUAGAUAAAAUUAUGCAACCGAAAAAAUAUGACCCAACUCUUGGGAUAUUAUUUAAUAGUCAUGAAAAAAUGUUUGCAUUUUACAAAGUCUAUGAUAAAUAAGAAGGGUUCCUGUAAAGGUUCGAACUACUAAGAAAGUGACUGAUGAAAUUGUAAAAUAUGCGACAUUUGCAUGUGGUCGUAGCGACAAGUUAGAAAGGAAAUCUGUUAAUGCAUUGAAGCCGAAACCUAAUGUGAAAAAUGGUUGUGAUGCAAAAAUUGGAGGUUGUCUAAAUGAAGAAGGAAAAUGGGUCCUUCGAACUUUAAAUCUUCAACACAACCAUGGAUUGAGUCCAGACAAAGCUAGGUAUUACACAAAAUCAAACAAAUUAACGAACUAAAAUAGUUCCUCUAUGGAAGGAAAGUGAGAGGGAGAGAGUAUAUACAAAUGAGAGGUGACGGCAAAAGAAAUUUGCAAAAGAAAGUCUGCAAAAUUUGUAGAUCUAUUGGCUUUGUGCUGCAUCGACGGCAAAGGAAAAUCUACAAGGUUGGUUGGCAUGGUCACGGUAGAGAAGAGAUAAGGUUGGUUAGCCGGUUCUGUGAUGGUAGAGAAGAGAUAAAAAAAUCGUAAAAUUGAUUUUGUGAAAGACAAUUAGAGAUAAAGUAGAGACGGUUGAGAAGAAAUAAGGUUUGAUCUGAUAUCCUUUUCAGACUUCUCUUUUAUUUUUUUAUUAAUAUUUAUUUUUUUUUUAAAGUAACUAUGGGCCCAUGAAGAGAAAAUGAUAAGUGAACGAAACGCAACGAGUGGCUUUAUUUCUUUUUCGAGCCCGUUUUAUAAUUAAAGUGUACAUAUUGAUUAGGUGGCUAAAUUAUUCAAUAACCAUAUUUAAAUGUAGCGCAGCGUGAAUGUUACUUUGAAAUUUUAGAAAAUCAAACAACUUGGAUAAGGUAAUUGAUUCCGCGUGUGGAAUAAAAAAAACUUAUCUCAAAAUAUUGGCUUUAAACGCAAGUUCAUCGGUAUACAUAUGUCCGAAAUGAACUCAUUUUUCAUUUACCAUAAGAAUUCUGAAGUCUUAGAGCUCCCAACCCCCAGGUAUAUGGGUACUUUCUUUUCUUGCUAAUUAAGGCAUAAUUUGAUUUGUGUUGUGCAUAGUAUCAGAGUUAACUAUAUCUAUUAUCCUGUAUAUUCUUAUUUUUCGUGGCCAUCGGAUGCAUGCAGGUGGUGACACAAUGGAAACAAUUCACGUAAAAGAGUCAACAAUAAUACGGCCUGCUCAAGAAACCCCCAGACAUUGCCUACGGUUGAGUGAUUUAGACCUGCUGAUGCCGGCAAGUCACAUCCCCAGUGUGUAUUUCUACCGACGGCCAAAUUACCCUUCCAAUUUGUUUGAAGGUGGUUUACUGAAGGAGGCUUUGAGUAAAGUUCUUGUCCCGUUUCACCCAUUGGCCGGAAGAUUGGGUAAAGAUGAAAAUGGCAGAAUUGAAAUAAAAUGUAACGGAAAGGGAGUUUUAUUUAUUGAAGCUGAAACGAGUUGUGUCACUGAUGAUUUUGGUGACUUUGAAUCAUGCUUGAAGCUCGUGCAACUUGUUCCACCUGUUGAUCGCACGAAAGAUGCAUAUUUUCAUCCACUUAUUAUGGCACAGGUAGAAGAAUAAGAAUAAAAAGAGAGCUCGUGUGUUUCCUCAUUUUAUUAAAAUGAAAUUGAGAGCUACUCCAUCAAAAGAAUUAUUCAUAAUACUCACUCAAACUUAGUCACUUUAUUUCUUUAUAGGUAACUCAUUUUAAGUGUGGAGGAGUUUCUCUUGGACUUAUGAUGCAUCAUCUGCCAAUGGACGGAACUACGGCAUAUCACUUCAUGAACUCAUGGGCUGAGAUGUCGCGUGGCAUUCCUAUUAGCGUUCCACCAAUCUUUGAUCGAACUAUACUAGAUGUUGGAGUCCCAACUUCUCCAUCAUUUCACCACAUCGAACACGAUCCCCCUCCUUUCAUGAAUAGUCCUACUCAAAAUCCUCAAGCCAUUUCCACUGCAAUCCUGAAAUUAUCACCUGAUCAAAUGAACAUCCUUAAAGAAAAAUCUAAGGGAGAUCACGGAUCCACCGUCAAGUAUACUAGAUUUGAGAUUGUAGCAGCACAUAUAUGGCGCUGCGCAUGUAAAGCACGAGGGUUGUCUGUUGAUCAAGCUACCAAGUUAGA